RNAcentral lists this ribosomal RNA (119 nucleotides) under Crocodylus porosus (Australian saltwater crocodile). The record is from RNAcentral. Lineage: Eukaryota; Metazoa; Chordata; Crocodylia; Crocodylidae.
CUGUGCAGCCCUGCCAAACUAAAUGUACCUGAUCUUGUUUGAUUUUGGAAGCUAAGCAGACCUAGGCUUGGCUACCACUUGCAUGAGAGACUACUGUAGAAUCCCAGCAACUCUAAAUA